GACGAACGCUGGCGGCGUGCUUAACACAUGCAAGUCGAACGGUGAAGCUCCAGCUUGCUGGAGUGGAUCAGUGGCGAACGGGUGAGUAACACGUGAGCAACCUGCCCCUGACUCUGGAAUAAGCGCUGGAAACGGCGUCUAAUACUGGAUACGAGAAGGGUCCGCAUGGGCACUUUCUGGAAAGUUUUUCGGUUGGGGAUGGGCGCGCGGCCUAUCAGCUUGUUGGUGAGGUAAUGGCUCACCAAGGCGAAGACGGGUAGCCGGCCUGAGAGGGCGACCGGCCACACUGGGACUAAGGGACGGCCCAGACGCCUACGGGAGGCAGCAGUGGGGAAUAUUGCACAAUGGGCGAAAGCCUGAUGCAGCGACGCCGCGUGAGGGAUGACGGCCUUCGGGUUGUAAACCUCUUUCAGCAGGGAAGAAGCGAAAGUGACGGUACCUGCAGAAGAAGCACCGGCUAACUACGUG
Molecule: ribosomal RNA, 468 nt
Filed under: uncultured bacterium
Lineage: Bacteria
Description: partial 16S ribosomal RNA
Rfam family: Bacterial small subunit ribosomal RNA
Source: RNAcentral